This is an RNA transcript of Phalaenopsis equestris, 1351 nucleotides long. It is a transcript of the gene named probable CDP-diacylglycerol--inositol 3-phosphatidyltransferase 2, with no coding region annotated. The transcript has 12 exons. The record is from RefSeq and is a predicted model, not a curated record. NCBI's taxonomy places the organism in Eukaryota, Viridiplantae, Streptophyta, Magnoliopsida, Asparagales, Orchidaceae.
CUCGUUUACACUACUCGAGCAAUCUCUACUGGUUUACACCCUGCGCGAAAAUAUCGCCUAUACUUUCCCAUCCCCUCUCUCGGGCCCGAAACCCCAUCCAUUUUAUAGUCGCAGCGGUGAAGUCGCCAUUGUAGCUCGGCAACGAGGGGAUCGCAUCGCGGUCUGCGAAGACAUUCGAAACUCCACUCUUUAUCCGCCUUCGCUCUGCUCCUAACCGAAAACCGAAUCCAUUGAGGAAGGUUGGUGGAAGAUCAAAUUCUUUUGGAAGGUGAUUUUUUUUAAGAAGCUUUGAUGGCUCAUACAACUACUGAAAAGAGAACAUCUGUGUAUAUUUACAUCCCAAAUAUUCUUGGUUAUCUGAGAGUUCUGCUCAAUAUUGUUGCAUUCGCUCUGUGCUUUUCCAGUAAAUUUUGGUUUGCAAGUCUUUACUUCAUUAGCUUUGUUUGUGAUGGAGUAGAUGGUUGGCUUGCACGGAAGUUUAAUCAAGUAUCAACCUUUGGGGCAGUUCUGGACAUGGUAACAGACAGAGUGAGCACGGCUUGUUUAUUGGCAAUCCUCUCUCAACUUUACAGACCUGGCUUGAUCUUUUUAGCAUUGCUUGGAUUAGAUAUUGCAAGCCACUGGCUGCAAAUGUAUAGUACUUUCUUGAGUGGCAAGAGCAGCCACAAAGAUGUCAAGGACAAAAGUAGUUGGCUUUUAAGGGCAUAUUAUCAGCAUCGUUAUUUCAUGGCGUUCUGCUGUGUUGGAUCUGAGGUUCUUUACAUCAUUCUUUUUUUAAUUCAUCAAAAGCACGAUGAAAGUUUAAUCUCUGUCUGUGUGAAUGCUACAAAAAAUAGCUUAACCCUUUCAGUACUAUUCACUUUAGCAUUUAUUGGAUGGGGAAUUAAACAAAUUGUGAAUAUCAUUCAGCUAAACUUUCAUAGUUAACUUGCACAUCACUCAAGUCGAAUUCAAAGACCAAUGCACUAUAAAUAAGAAGAUCCAAAGCAAUAAUCAGAAAAACGAUGUAUAACUCAAGUCGAAUUCAAAGACCAAAGCAAUAAUCAGGCAGUGCCUCAUAAAGCCAUCAGGCAGUGAAGUAUCAGAUGAAGACAGCUGCUGAUGCGUGCGUGAUAUAUGAUAUGAAGGAAAGGUGAAGAAGCCAUGAUCCUCCUCAAAAUGGCUGAUUUUAGUAGUUUGUAGGAUAAAACUUAUCCCAUGAAGAAUAUUUUAGUCGAUUUGAGGGAUUUCUGCUUUCUAUUAAAUGAUACGCUGACAAUGAAGGAAAUUUACAUCUGCAGUUCGCAAUUCUUAUUGUAAAAUUGAAAUUGCACUACUAACAUUUUAGAAGUGAAAUACUCCUUUUUUUUGA